GCGUCGGUAGUGCAACGGUUAGCAUACGCUUUCGGAAAGAGUGAGUCCUGCUUUCGAAUCCCGGCCGACGCA
Parelaphostrongylus tenuis is the source of this 72-nucleotide non-coding RNA. Lineage: Eukaryota; Metazoa; Nematoda; Chromadorea; Rhabditida; Metastrongylidae. The record is from the annotation of a GenBank genome assembly.